Molecule: ribosomal RNA, 432 nt
Filed under: uncultured bacterium
Lineage: Bacteria
Description: partial 16S ribosomal RNA
Rfam family: Bacterial small subunit ribosomal RNA
Source: RNAcentral
ACGAACGCUGGCGGCAUGCCUAACACAUGCAAGUCGAACGAGACCUUCGGGUCUAGUGGCGCACGGGUGCGUAACGCGUGGGAACCUGCCCUUAGGUUCGGAAUAACUCCCCGAAAGGGGUGCUAAUACCGGAUAAUGUCUUCGGACCAAAGAUUUAUCGCCUUUGGAUGGGCCCGCGUUGGAUUUGCUAGUUGGUAGGGUAAAAGCCUACCAAGGCGACGAUCCAUAGCUGGUCUGAGAGGAUGAUCAGCCACACUGGGACUGAGACACGGCCCAGACUCCUACGGGAGGCAGCAGUGGGGAAUAUUGGACAAUGGGCGAAAGCCUGAUCCAGCAAUGCCGCGUGAGUGAUGAAGGCCUUAGGGUUGUAAAGCUCUUUUACCCGGGAUGAUAAUGACAGUACCGGGAGAAUAAGCUCCGGCUAACUCCGUG